GAAAUCCUCAUGUUAACGGUUCCA
RNAcentral lists this transfer RNA (24 nucleotides) under Solanum turraeifolium. Its description in RNAcentral is "partial tRNA-Phe". The record is from RNAcentral. Lineage: Eukaryota; Viridiplantae; Streptophyta; Magnoliopsida; Solanales; Solanaceae.